This 1317-nucleotide ribosomal RNA is filed under the name metagenome. RNAcentral describes it as "bacterial LSU rRNA". It matches the Rfam family "Bacterial large subunit ribosomal RNA", at positions 1597 to 2925 of the family's 2925-position model. The record is from RNAcentral.
AAUCUACGCCGGCGAGAAAAGUUGCUAAAUAUUUCGAGGUACCCGUACCGCAAACCGACACAGGUAGACGAGAAGAAAAUUCUAAGACGAACGGGAGAACCCUUGUUAAGGAACUCGGCAAAACGACCCCGUAACUUCGGGAGAAGGGGAGCCAUCGAGAGAUGGCCGCAGUGAAGAGGCCCAAGCGACUGUUUAUCAAAAACACAGGUUUCUGCUAAGGCGAAAGCCAAGGUAUAGGAGCUGACUCCUGCCCAGUGCCGGAAGGUCAAGGGGACUUGUUAGCAGCAAUGCGAAGCAACGAACUUAAGCCCCGGUGAACGGCGGCCGUAACAAUAACGGUCCUAAGGUAGCGAAAUUCCUUGUCGGGUAAGUUCCGACCCGCACGAAUGGGGUAACGAUUUGGGCGCUGUCUCAACAGGGGGCCCGGCGAAAUUGUAGUAUACGUGAAGAUGCGUAUUAACCCGCGACUGGACGGAAAGACCCCGUAGAGCUUUACUGUAGCUUGAUAUUGAAUCUCGGCAACUGAUGCACAGAAUAGGUGGGAGACUGAGAAGCAGCGUUUUCGGGCGCUGCGGAGUCAACUUUGGGAUACCACUCUUCGGUUGCUGCGAUUCUAACCGAAAACCGUGAAACCGGGUUCGGGACAUUGUCAGGCGGGCAGUUUGACUGGGGCGGUCGCCUCCUAAAGAGUAACGGAGGCGCUCAAAGGUUCCCUCAGAAUGGUUGGAAAUCAUUCGACGAGUGUAAAGGUAUAAGGGAGCUUGACUGUGAGACUGACAAGUCGAACAGGUGCGAAAGCAGGACUUAGUGAUCAGGUGGUAUGAGAAUGGAAUUGCCAUCGCUUAACGGAUAAAAGUUACCUCGGGGAUAACAGGCUUAUCUCCCCCAAGAGUUCACAUCGACGGGGAGGUUUGGCACCUCGAUGUCGGCUCGUCACAUCCUGGGGCUGAAGCAGGUCCCAAGGGUUCGGCUGUUCGCCGAUUAAAGUGGCACGCGAGCUGGGUUCAAAACGUCGUGAGACAGUUUGGUCCCUAUCCAUCGUGGGCGUAGGAUAUUUGAGAGGGUUUGUCCUUAGUACGAGAGGACCGGGAUGAACGCACCUACCGUGCAUCUGUUGUCGCGCCAGCGGCAUGGCAGAGUAGCGGAGUGCGGUUGAGAUAAACGCUGAAAGCAUCUAAGCGUGAAACUCGCCUCAAGAUAAGAUAUCCCAUAUCGUAAGGUAGUAAGACCCCUUGCAGACGACAAGGUUGAUAGGUCGGAGAUGGAAGCGCAGUAAUGCGUGCAGUUGACCGAUACUAAUAGGUCGAGGGCUUGAUA